This 226-nucleotide unclassified non-coding RNA is filed under the name uncultured fungus. Its description in RNAcentral is "partial contains 18S rRNA, ITS1, 5.8S rRNA, ITS2 and 28S rRNA". The record is from RNAcentral. Lineage: Eukaryota; Fungi.
AAGGAUCAUUACCGAGUGCGGGUCCUUUGGGCCCAACCUCCCAUCCGUGUCUAUUGUACCCUGUUGCUUCGGCGGGCCCGCCGCUUGUCGGCCGCCGGGGGGGCGCCUCUGCCCCCCGGGCCCGUGCCCGCCGGAGACCCCAACACGAACACUGUCUGAAAGCGUGCAGUCUGAGUUGAUUGAAUGCAAUCAGUUAAAACUUUCAACAAUGGAUCUCUUGGUUCCG